AGAUUGAACGCUGGCGGCAGGCCUAACACAUGCAAGUCGAGCGGUAGAGAGGUGCUUGCAUCUCUUGAGAGCGGCGGACGGGUGAGUAAUGCCUAGGAAUCUGCCUAGUGGUGGGGGAUAACGUUCGGAAACGGACGCUAAUACCGCAUACGUCCUACGGGAGAAAGCGGGGGACCUUCGGGCCUCGCGCGAUUGGAGCGGCUGAUAUCAGAGUUUAGGUUGUUGGUGAGGUAAAGCUCACCAAGCCUUCGAUCUGUAGC
This 260-nucleotide ribosomal RNA is filed under the name uncultured soil bacterium. Its description in RNAcentral is "partial 16S ribosomal RNA". It matches the Rfam family "Bacterial small subunit ribosomal RNA", at positions 26 to 287 of the family's 1533-position model. The record is from RNAcentral.